UAUGGUUGUGCCAGCCGCCGCGGUAAUACGGAGGAUCCGAGCGUUAUCCGGAUUUAUUGGGUUUAAAGGGAGCGUAGGCGGAUGCUUAAGUCAGUUGUGAAAGUUUGCGGCUCAACCGUAAAAUUGCAGUUGAUACUGGGUGUCUUGAGUACAGUAGAGGCAGGCGGAAUUCGUGGUGUAGCGGUGAAAUGCUUAGAUAUCACGAAGAACUCCGAUUGCGAAGGCAGCUUGCUGGACUGUAACUGACGCUGAUGCUCGAAAGUGUGGGUAUCAAACAGG
RNAcentral lists this ribosomal RNA (279 nucleotides) under Bacteroides uniformis. RNAcentral's name for it is "partial 16S ribosomal RNA". It matches the Rfam family "Bacterial small subunit ribosomal RNA", at positions 498 to 776 of the family's 1533-position model. Lineage: Bacteria; Pseudomonadati; Bacteroidota; Bacteroidia; Bacteroidales; Bacteroidaceae. The record is from RNAcentral.